UAGUGAUGGCCUAGAGAUCGAGUA
RNAcentral lists this non-coding RNA (24 nucleotides) under Arabidopsis thaliana (thale cress). Lineage: Eukaryota; Viridiplantae; Streptophyta; Magnoliopsida; Brassicales; Brassicaceae. The record is from RNAcentral.